ACGGCUCAGUAACACGUGGAUAACAUGCCCUAAGGUGGGGGAUAAUCUCGGGAAACUGAGGGUAAUACCCCAUAGGUCUGAUAUGCUGGAAUGCUUUCAGGCCGAAAACUCCGGUGCCUUAGGAUUGGUCUGCGGUCUAUCAGGCUGUAGUGGGUGUAACGGACCCACUAGCCCGUGACGGAUAUGGGCCUUGAGAGAGGGAGCCCAGAGAUGGACUCUGAGACAUGAGUCCAGGCCCUACGGGGCGCAGCAGUCGCGAAAACUUCGCAAUGGGGGCAACCCCGACGAGGGAAUUCCAAGUGCCAGCACUUUGUGUUGGCUGUUCUCCUGUCUAAAAAACAGGAGGAGUAAGGGGCGGGUAAGACGGGUGCCAGCCGCCGCGGUAAUACCCGCGCCCCAAGUGGUGGUCGAUAUUAUUGAGCCUAAAACGUCCGUAGCCGGUCUUCUAAAUCCUUGGGUAAAUCGGGCAGCUUAACUGUCCGAAUUCCGGGGAGACUGGGAGACUUGGGACCGGGAGAGGUCAGAGGUACUUCUGGGGUAGGGGUAAAAUCCUGUAAUCCUGGAAGGACCACCGGUGGCGAAGGCGUCUGACUAGAACGGAUCCGACGGUGAGGGACGAAGCCCUGGGGCGCAAACGGGAUUAGAUACCCCGGUAGUCCAGGGUGUAAACGCUGCGGGCUUGGUGUUGGGGGUCCUUAGUGGGCGCCCAGUGCCGGAGAGAAGUUGUUAAGCCUGCUGCUUGGGGAGUAUGUCCGCAAGGA
Molecule: ribosomal RNA, 761 nt
Filed under: uncultured archaeon
Lineage: Archaea
Description: bacterial SSU rRNA
Rfam family: Archaeal small subunit ribosomal RNA
Source: RNAcentral